GAAAUAUGUUAUUCAAAAUAAAGCUUCUAACUUUAAUUUUUAGCGGUGAAAUACCGUUUAUAUUUCU
This 67-nucleotide transfer RNA is filed under the name Rhagophthalmus lufengensis. RNAcentral describes it as "tRNA-Ser". The record is from RNAcentral. Lineage: Eukaryota; Metazoa; Arthropoda; Insecta; Coleoptera; Rhagophthalmidae.